UGGGGAAUAUUGCACAAUGGGCGCAAGCCUGAUGCAGCCAUGCCGCGUGUAUGAAGAAGGCCUUCGGGUUGUAAAGUACUUUCAGCGGGGAGGAAGGGAGUAAAGUUAAUACCUUUGCUCAUUGACGUUACCCGCAGAAGAAGCACCGGCUAACUCCGUGCCAGCAGCCGCGGUAAUACGGAGGGUGCAAGCGUUAAUCGGAAUUACUGGGCGUAAAGCGCACGCAGGCGGUCUGUCAAGUCGGAUGUGAAAUCCCCGGGCUCAACCUGGGAACUGCAUUGGAAACUGGCAGGCUAGAGUCUUGUAGAGGGGGGUAGAAUUCCAGGUGUAGCGGUGAAAUGCGUAGAGAUCUGGAGGAAUACCGGUGGCGAAGGCGGCCCCCUGGACAAAGACUGACGCUCAGGUGCGAAAGCGUGGGGAGCAAACAGG
Molecule: ribosomal RNA, 429 nt
Filed under: Chloroflexota bacterium
Lineage: Bacteria; Bacillati; Chloroflexota
Description: Chloroflexi bacterium partial 16S ribosomal RNA
Rfam family: Bacterial small subunit ribosomal RNA
Source: RNAcentral